Molecule: ribosomal RNA, 464 nt
Filed under: Vreelandella stevensii
Lineage: Bacteria; Pseudomonadati; Pseudomonadota; Gammaproteobacteria; Oceanospirillales; Halomonadaceae
Description: partial 16S ribosomal RNA
Rfam family: Bacterial small subunit ribosomal RNA
Source: RNAcentral
CUACGGGGGGCUGCAGUGGGGAAUAUUGGACAAUGGGCGAAAGCCUGAUCCAGCCAUGCCGCGUGUGUGAAGAAGGCCUUCGGGUUGUAAAGCACUUUCAGUGGGGAAGAAAGCCUUGGGGCUAAUACCCUCGAGGAAGGACAUCACCCACAGAAGAAGCACCGGCUAACUCCGUGCCAGCAGCCGCGGUAAUACGGAGGGUGCGAGCGUUAAUCGGAAUUACUGGGCGUAAAGCGCGCGUAGGCGGUCUGAUAAGCCGGUUGUGAAAGCCCCGGGCUCAACCUGGGAACGGCAUCCGGAACUGUCAGGCUAGAGUGCAGGAGAGGAAGGUAGAAUUCCCGGUGUAGCAGUGAAAUGCGUAGAGAUCGGGAGGAAUACCAGUGGCGAAGGCGGCCUUCUGGACUGACACUGACGCUGAGGUGCGAAAGCGUGGGUAGCAAACAGGAUUAGAUACCCGAGUAGUC